GACUCGUCACACUAUCAUUAACUGAAUCCAUAGGUUAAUGAGGCGAACCGGGGGAACUGAAACAUCUAAGUACCCCGAGGAAAAGAAAUCAACCGAGAUUCCCCCAGUAGCGGCGAGCGAACGGGGAGGAGCCCAGAGCCUGAAUCAGCAUGUGUGUUAGUGGAAGCGUCUGGAAAGGCGCGCGAUACAGGGUGACAGCCCCGUACACAAAAGCGCAUGUGCUGUGAGCUCGAUGAGUAGGGCGGGACACGUGGUAUCCUGUCUGAAUAUGGGGGGACCAUCCUCCAAGGCUAAAUACUCCUGACUGACCGAUAGUGAACCAGUACCGUGAGGGAAAGGCGAAAAGAACCCCGGCGAGGGGAGUGAAAAAGAACCUGAAACCGUGUACGUACAAGCAGUGGGAGCACCCUUUGGGGUGUGACUGCGUACCUUUUGUAUAAUGGGUCAGCGACUUAUAUUCUGUAGCAAGGUUAACCGUAUAGGGGAGCCGGAGGGAAACCGAGUCUUAACCGGGCGUUAAGUUGCAGGGUAUAGACCCGAAACCCGGUGAUCUAGCCAUGGGCAGGUUGAAGGUUGGGUAACACUAACUGGAGGACCGAACCGACUAAUGUUGAAAAAUUAGCGGAUGACCUGUGGCUGGGGGUGAAAGGCCAAUCAAACCGGGAGAUAGCUGGUUCUCCCCGAAAGCUAUUUAGGUAGCGCCUCGUGAAUUCAUCUCCGGGGGUAGAGCACUGUUUCGGCUAGGGGGCCAUCCCGGCUUACCAACCCGAUGCAAACUGCGAAUACCGGAGAAUGUUAUCACGGGAGACACACGGCGGGUGCUAACGUCCGUCGUGAAGAGGGAAACAACCCAGACCGCCAGCUAAGGUCCCAAAGUCAUGGUUAAGUGGGAAACGAUGUGGGAAGGCCCAGACAGCCAGGAUGUUGGCUUAGAAGCAGCCAUCAUUUAAAGAAAGCGUAAUAGCUCACUGGUCGAGUCGGCCUGCGCGGAAGAUGUAACGGGGCUAAACCAUG
RNAcentral lists this ribosomal RNA (1014 nucleotides) under Salmonella enterica. Its description in RNAcentral is "partial 23S ribosomal RNA". It matches the Rfam family "Bacterial large subunit ribosomal RNA", at positions 137 to 1191 of the family's 2925-position model. The record is from RNAcentral. Lineage: Bacteria; Pseudomonadati; Pseudomonadota; Gammaproteobacteria; Enterobacterales; Enterobacteriaceae. RNAcentral also lists the same sequence under 1 other name.